UCUCUCAGUUGCUCAGUAGUCAGUGUAGGUCCUGUCUGCUGCUCAGCAGCUACAUCUGGCUACUGGGUCUCUAAUAGGCUUC
MicroRNA precursor from Astyanax mexicanus (Mexican tetra), 82 nucleotides. It matches the Rfam family "mir-221 microRNA precursor family". Lineage: Eukaryota; Metazoa; Chordata; Actinopteri; Characiformes; Acestrorhamphidae. The record is from Rfam.